Molecule: ribosomal RNA, 397 nt
Filed under: Rhizobium sp. UFLA4-29
Lineage: Bacteria; Pseudomonadati; Pseudomonadota; Alphaproteobacteria; Hyphomicrobiales; Rhizobiaceae
Also listed under: 1 other name
Description: bacterial SSU rRNA
Rfam family: Bacterial small subunit ribosomal RNA
Source: RNAcentral
UACCUUUUGCUACGGAAUAACGCAGGGAAACUUGUGCUAAUACCGUAUGUGUCCUUCGGGAGAAAGAUUUAUCGGCAAGAGAUGAGCCCGCGUUGGAUUAGCUAGUUGGUGGGGUAAAGGCCUACCAAGGCGACGAUCCAUAGCUGGUCUGAGAGGAUGAUCAGCCACAUUGGGACUGAGACACGGCCCAAACUCCUACGGGAGGCAGCAGUGGGGAAUAUUGGACAAUGGGCGCAAGCCUGAUCCAGCCAUGCCGCGUGAGUGAUGAAGGCCCUAGGGUUGUAAAGCUCUUUCACCGGAGAAGAUAAUGACGGUAUCCGGAGAAGAAGCCCCGGCUAACUUCGUGCCAGCAGCCGCGGUAAUACGAAGGGGGCUAGCGUUGUUCGGAAUUACUGGG